This 1410-nucleotide long non-coding RNA is filed under the name Pan troglodytes (chimpanzee). RNAcentral describes it as "long non-coding RNA NONPTRT000777". The record is from RNAcentral. Lineage: Eukaryota; Metazoa; Chordata; Mammalia; Primates; Hominidae.
GGUGGACGGUGCCGAGACAUGGUGGCUGUGGUGAACGGUGCUGCUAAGACAUGGUGGCUGUGGUGGAUGGUGCCGAGACAUGGUGGCUGUGGUGAACGGUGCUGCCGAGACAUGGUGGCUGUGGUGGACGGUGCUGAGACACGGUGGCUGUGGUGAACGGUGCUGCCGAGACAUGGUGGCUGUGGUGGACGGUGCUGCUGAGACAUGGUGGCUGUGGUGGAUGGUGCCGAGACAUGGUGGCUGUGGUGAACGGUGCUGCUGAGACAUGGUGGCUAUGGUGAACGGUGCUGAGACAUGGUGGCUGUGGUGGACGGUGCUGCUGAGACAUGGUGGCUGUGGUGAACGGUGCUGAGACAUGGGGCUGUGGUGAAUGGUGCUGCCGAGACAUGGUGGCUGUGGUGAACGGUGCUGCUAAUGUGUCUGGAAUUGGUGGAUUCUUGGUCUCACUGACUUCAAGAUUGAAGCCGCAGACCCUCGCAAUGAGUGUUACAGUUCUUAAAGAUGGUGUGUCCGGAGUUUGUUCCUUCUGAUGUUCGGAUGUGUUUGGAGUUUCUUCCUUCUGGUGGGUUCGUGGUCUCGCUGGCUUCAGGAGUGAAGCUGCAGACCUUCGCAGUGAGUGUUACAGCUCAUAAAGGCAGUGCAGACCCAAAGAGUGAGCAGCAGCAAGAUUUAUUGCAAAGAGCGAAAGAACAAAGCUUCCAUAGUGUGGAAGGGGACCCGAGGAGGUUGCUGCUGCUGGCUCCCGCAGCCUGCUUUUAUUCCCUUAUCUGACCCCACCCACAUCCUGCUGAUUGGCCCAUUUUACAGACAGCUGAUUGGUCCAUUUUAUAGAGAGCUGAUUGGUCUGUUUUGACAGGGUGCUGAUUAGCGCGUUUACGAUCCCUGAGCUAGACACAGAAUGAUAUUUACAAUCCUCUAGCUAGACGUAAAAGUUCUCCAAGUCCCCACUAGAUUAACUAGACACAGAGCAGCGAUUGGUGCAUUUACAAACCUUGAGCUAGACACAAGGUGCUGAUUGGUGCGUUUACAAACCUUGAGCUAGACACAGAGUGCUGAUUGGUGUAUUUACAAUCCUGUAGCUAGACAUAAAGGUUCUCCAAGUCCCCACCGGAUUAGCUAGAUACAGAGAGUGCUGAUUGGCGCAUCCACAAACCCUGAGCUAGACACGGAGUGCUGAUUGGUGCAUUUACAAUCCUCCAGCUAGACAUAAAAGUUCUCCAAGUCCUCACCCGACUCAGGAGCCCAGCUGGCUUUGCCUAAUGGACCCAGCGCCUGGCCGCAGGCAGAGCUGCCCACCAGUCCAGUGCCGUGCGCUACACUCCUCAGCCCUUGGGUGGUUGAUGGGAUCGGGCACCGCGGAGCAGGGGUGGUGCCCGUUGGGGAGGCUUGGGCUGCAUGGGAGCCCACGGG